ACAUCCCUAGUCAAGGUCAUGUGGCCAAUACAGUGUAAUACAUCCCUAGUCAAGGUCAUGUGGCCAAUACAGUGUAAUACAACAUCCCUAGUCAAGGUUAUGUGGCAAAUACAGUGUAAUACAUCCCUAGUCAAGGUUAUGUGGCCAAUACAGUGUAAUACAUCCCUAGUCAAGCUAAUGUGGUCAAUACAGUGUAAUACAUCCCUAGUCAAGGUUAUGUGGUCAAUACAGUGUAAUACAACAUCCCUAGUCAAGGUUAUGUGACCAAUACAGUGUAAUACAACAUCCCUAGUCAAGGUUAUGUGGUCAAUACAGUGUAAUACAUCCCUAGUCAAGGUCAUGUGGUCAAUACAGUGUAAUACAUCCCUAGUCAAGGUUAUGUGGUUAAUACAUUGUAAUACACCCCUAGUCAAGGUUAUGUGACCAAUACAGUGUAAUACAACAUCCCUAGUCAAGGUUAUGUGGUCUAGUGUAAUACAUCCCUAGUCAAGGUUAUGUGGUCAAUGCCCUUCCAUAUUCCCUCCCUUACACAUGUAUGCUCUAUUUUUCGAUCAUUAAGCCGCUAUUCCCUGUCUUUUGUCUGUCAUGUUUACUAGUUGGGAACCUUGUUGGGCAUGGUAUAGUAAUGUACUGAAUUGUCUUUUCUAUUGGUGUCGUUUUGGGUUUGUAGGUGUAGUUAGUCUGCGUGGGAGGGGCAUGUUUUGUAAGGUCGUGUACAAAAGUGCCGACACGAGAGUCAAUGUUGACCUUGAUGCGUUCAAUGAGCCUCCCUUGGAGAGCAGAUGUUCAGAAGUCGCCGACGACAUAAUGUAUAUCACAAUAGGGUAGCUUUGUAUAUAUGUAUGUACAAUAAAGGAGACCAGAUCGCCAAAUACAGACAUCAUCGUUCAUUGUCUAGGUUUGCAAUUCACUGUCGCCCACAAAAAUUGUCCAUUGUCACGUCCGUGCGAGUCGUAGUAUACAUUACGUCCCUAUACAUUAGAGGUAGUUCAAAAGGAUGACCAAUGGAUGGGAUAUAAGGUAGAAUUACCCAUUGGUCAGUCAUGGGUAACGACAGAGGUCAAAGACACUGACCGGAUAUGGGUCAUUAUUAUAGUGUCACCGCAUUUCAGAGGACAAUAUGGGGUGUUUGUCAACUUCUGAACAACAACAGAAUGGGAUCUACCCGGGGCGUGAUGUGUCAUACAACAUGCCACAGAUGCCGACUUGGGUUAAUUAGAACUACUGUGUAGACGGUCUAAUAGUCAGACAUCACUUAAUCCAGCAGAUGUACUGAGGUGUAAAGCCCUGCCCGAUCAGUGACCUUCAGGGUAGAGUUGACAGAACGACAGAUGCUGUGUUCGCACCCACUAUAACUGGCCGGUUCAGCAGGACAGCGCUGUCAGACCAGUUACGUUACGGCAGGUAAAUAAGAAUUCUGAUUUAUUGGAAGGCCGAACAGCGACCUAAUGACACAAGAGCUUUGUUAUAGUGUAUACGUGUGCACGUCUCAUCCAAUCAGAACACUCGCCCUUACAGAUGUAGGAACGCAGCACCUGCCGUGAGGGCGGCUCACCUUCCCGGACCGCCCGUUUUCCUUACCUGGACUCACAGUUUACCUGUUACUUUAUAUACCUGGAAACAUGACCCGGUGUAGUCAUGAAUCACACACAUCAUUUGUAGUAGGGACUAUUGUAAAGUAUAAUGUGUAUUGUUAUAUCUGUUUGCAAUUAUAAUAUUUCAUUUACAAAUCUGGGGUUACUGCAUCUAUCGUGUUUUAUACCAAGCUAUAUCACAUAAGGUUAUUACCAAGGUAGUCCUGGUAUCCUCAUUCAUUUAUCUAUGUAGGAUUUCGUUUGAUACUGGUUUAAGCAUUAUGUGUGCAAUUAAUAUAUAAACACAACUAACUUGAUUAAGAUAUGCUGACUCUUGCCACGUAGAUGAUAGUAAGACAUAUGUGUAGAUCUGGUUGUAAGAGAGUGUGUGGGUUUGUGUGUGUACUUAGCAUAUAAAAACCUUACUAGGCACCUGUAUGCAAAAUAUGAGGUGAGCCCCUCCAAUAGGUGGGCUUAUCUUACAACCAACACCCUUCGUGUGUUUGGCGCCAUAUGUCACUAGUUUGUAUCCUGGUUAUACACCAGACAAUAUUUCAUUUGAUUUUAAACUUUAAUAUUGCUAGUUAAAUCAUAAUGUAAAGAAGCGAGUCACCUUGAUGUCAUAUUGAUCUAAAGAUAAAAUUUAACUAAUGCAUGUCCAAACAAAAAUUAUCUAACGUAUGCUUGGGAUCAUAUCAUAUUUACAACAAACUUCCUCUAAGACCAGCUGUUGCUGUAUAGAUUUCAUAUUGUCAAUUAUUUAAGCUGUGGUCGUAUUAUUUGCUUGGUUAAAUAAUUCUACAACACAUGGUAAAUAUUUUAUAAUAUUUUGUCUACGAUGUUUUUGUAUAGACAGAUAUAUAAUCCCCACUUAUCACUUGUGGUAAGAUGGCCUAUACCUACUGAUUCUGUAUCAACACAGAAGGUUCGUUUAUUACAAACUGAGUAGGUUUAGUAGAAGGCAUACAAGUGAAUAUCAUAUCUAAAUGAAUUAUAUAGUAUAUACAGUAAAUAUUGAAAAAUGAAUAAAACUAAAUUAUGGAGCUGUUUCGUCCUUUUAGGACUCGUCAGUAAUGGUAGGAGUCUAAUCUGCUGGAAACACAGAAGGGUAUUCAGGGAAAUAUGAAAUGAGUUCAAUAUCAAAGAACAAAAUGGUAAUUACAUUAACUAAUUAUCGUUAAACAUGUUUUGCGUUUAGUUAUUAUUUCAUUCUCAAUAUUUACCAAAUCAUUGCUUAAUUGUGCAUUUUUGUAAUCUACAUUUUAAAGUUGAUUUGCCGAUUAUGGCAAAUGAAAUAUAAUACAAUGUGUAUAUAAUUAUAAAUAAUGCCAGCCAAUUUAUAGUGUUAUAUACGAAAGUAAGUACUAUAAGUUUAUUUACUUUUUUAUGCUGAAUAAUUAACCUCUGUAUACUGUAUUCUAUCAGUCUAAUCUAUUUAUUCCUUAAUGAUAUUUACUACGUUUCUAAUUUGUUUUAAUGCUUUUCGAAUGUGCAAUAUUUUUGUAUUUUUAUCUAACAUUUUGAAGUUACCGCAGCUAGGUAUAAGUAGUCAAUAUUUGCACUCACCUCU
Pecten maximus is the source of this 3144-nucleotide long non-coding RNA. RefSeq lists it as uncharacterized. The record is from RefSeq and is a predicted model, not a curated record. Lineage: Eukaryota; Metazoa; Mollusca; Bivalvia; Pectinida; Pectinidae. The transcript is spliced from 4 exons.